RNAcentral lists this ribosomal RNA (245 nucleotides) under uncultured bacterium. Its description in RNAcentral is "partial 16S ribosomal RNA". It matches the Rfam family "Bacterial small subunit ribosomal RNA", at positions 88 to 334 of the family's 1533-position model. The record is from RNAcentral.
AUGGCGACCGGCGCACGGGUGAGUAACACGUAUCCAACCUGCCGAUAACUCUGGAAUAGCCUUUCGAAAGAAAGAUUAAUACCGGAUGGCAUACGAAUAUCGCAUGAUAUUUUUAUUAAAGAAUUUCGGUUAUCGAUGGGGAUGCGUUCCAUUAGUUUGUUGGCGGGGUAACGGCCCACCAAGACAACGAUGGAUAGGGGUUCUGAGAGGAAGGUCCCCCACAUUGGAACUGAGACACGGUCCAA